AACCUCCCCACCCCCCCCCAUUACACACACUGCCCCACAAACACAAUCCCCAUACACACACACUGCCUCCCUGUAAUGGGGCAGAGUGUGUAAUGGGGGGGGGAGGGGGAGGAG
RNAcentral lists this microRNA precursor (114 nucleotides) under Pelobates cultripes (western spadefoot toad). Lineage: Eukaryota; Metazoa; Chordata; Amphibia; Anura; Pelobatidae. The record is from RNAcentral.